RNAcentral lists this ribosomal RNA (1653 nucleotides) under metagenome. RNAcentral's name for it is "bacterial LSU rRNA". It matches the Rfam family "Bacterial large subunit ribosomal RNA", at positions 1248 to 2925 of the family's 2925-position model. The record is from RNAcentral.
GAACGAAGCAGUACCGAAAGGAGCUGUGGACUGCAUGGAAGAGAGAAUGCCGGAAUGAGUAGCGAGAUAGAGGUGAGAAUCCUCUAGGCCGAAUAUCCAAGGUUUCCAGAGUAAAGCUGAUCUGCUCUGGGUAAGUCGGGGCCUAAGGCGAGGACGAGAGUCGUAGCCGAUGGACAACAGGUGGAGAUUCCUGUACUGCGGUAUGACAGAACUGUGGGGACACGUAAGGAAAGCGGAAGCCGGGAAUGGAAAGCCCGGUGCAAGCGGGGUACCAGUCACUUUGGCAAAUCCGGGUGGCAAUGGGAAGCCGUGAUGCGGAGUGAAAUAAAGUAACGAAGUCCGUGAGCCAUGCGUCAAGAAAAGCCGCUAUCGUUUAUACCGUACCCGUACCGUAAACCGACACAGGUGGAUGAGGAGAGAAUCCUAAGGCCGGCGGAAGAAGCAUUGUCAAGGAACUCGGCAAAAUGGCCCCGUAACUUAGGGAUAAGGGGUGCCUGGGAAACCAGGCCGCAGAGAAUAGGCUCAAGCAACUGUUUAGCAAAAACACAGGUCUAUGCGAAACCGAAAGGUGAGGUAUAUGGGCUGACGCCUGCCCGGUGCUGGAAGGUUAAGAGGAGAGGUUAGCGGUAACGCGAAGCUUUGAAUUUAAGCCCCAGUAAACGGCGGCCGUAACAAUAACGGUCCUAAGGUAGCGAAAUUCCUUGUCGGGUAAGUUCCGACCCGCACGAAAGGCGUAAUGAUUUGAGCGCUGUCUCGACAAUGCAUCCGGUGAAAUUGAAGUACCAGUGAAGAUGCUGGUUACCUGCGCCAGGACGGAAAGACCCCAUGGAGCUUUACUCCAGUCUGGUACUGGGACUCGGUAUUGCAUGUACAGGAUAGGUGGGAGGCUAGGAGAUGGUAACGCCAGUUGCCAUGGAGCCGCUGUUGGGAUACCACCCUUGCAGUAUUGGGUUUCUAACCAGCCGCCGUGACCCGGCGGUGGGACAAUGCCAGACGGGGAGUUUGACUGGGGCGGUCGCCUCCGAAAGGGUAUCGGAGGCGCCCAAAGGUUCCCUCAGAAUGGACGGAAACCAUUCGAAGAGUGCAAAGGCAGAAGGGAGCUUGACUGCGACACCGACGGGUGGAGCAGGUACGAAAGUAGGGCUUAGUGAUCCGGUGGUAUUAAGUGGGAAUGCCAUCGCUCAACGGAUAAAAGCUACCCUGGGAUAACAGGCUUAUCACUCCCAAGAGUUCACAUCGACGGAGUGGUUUGGCACCUCGAUGUCGGCUCAUCGCAUCCUGGGGCUGUAGUAGGUCCCAAGGGUUGGGCUGUUCGCCCAUUAAAGCGGUACGCGAGCUGGGUUCAGAACGUCGUGAGACAGUUCGGUCCCUAUCCGGCGUGGGCGUAGGAUAUCUGAGAGGAGCUGUCCUUAGUACGAGAGGACCGGGAUGGACGGGCCGCUGGUGCAUCGGUUAGACUGCCAAGUCUACGGCCGAGUAGCCAAGCCCGGAAGGGAUAAACGCUGAAGGCAUCUAAGCGUGAAGCCCCCCUUAAGAUGAGAUAUCCCAUUCGAAAGAAGUAAACCCCCUUGAAGACGACGAGGUAGAUAGGGCUGAGGUGGAAGUGCAGCAAUGCAUGGAGCUGACUGUUACUAAUCGGGUGAGGGCUUGAUC